Nothobranchius furzeri (turquoise killifish) is the source of this 690-nucleotide long non-coding RNA. RefSeq lists it as uncharacterized. The record is from RefSeq and is a predicted model, not a curated record. Lineage: Eukaryota; Metazoa; Chordata; Actinopteri; Cyprinodontiformes; Nothobranchiidae.
UCAGUGUUCUCCAAACCCUCUAACGCUGCCGCAGACAGCCGAGAUGGAUGCUUACACAGUGGAAAGUAGAAAAUUAAAAGGAAGCGUCUGAUAAACUGACAGGAGGCACCUCAGGAUAGAGGAGCGGGAGAUGGAACGAUCAGGAGGAGCGUUGAGGAGAGGCUGAUGGAUAUGCAGCAUGUUUGGAGCAAAGCUGCCCUCCCAGUGGGAGGGUAACUCUGAAGUGCCUUUUUUUCCCUCCACCUGAACCAAUCCUCAUGUAACCCUCUUAUCUCUAUUAAGGUAGCGCGACUCAUGGUUGCGAAUGACCACAGUCACCAAUUCUUGUCAUGUGUCUUGCCCAUGUAUGUCUGAUCUCUGAAUUGUGUGUACUGAAACUCUAAUUUCCCUCUGGGAUUAAUAAAGUAUCUUUGAUUGAUUGAUUGAUUGAUUGAUUGAUUGAUUGAUUGAUCAUCACCAGUGUGAAUGGGUGAAUGACUGACUGUGUUGUGAAGCGCCUUGGGGGGUUGUAGAACCUUAAGAAGGUGCUAUCCAAAUACAGACCAUUUAAAAUGGAUUUAGUAGUGCUGUCACAUUGGUUUUAAUGUGCUAUUCUCUCGAAUGGGAAGAACAUUGAAUCGUUAAAUGUGCUAUACACAUAAAGCCGACUUGCCUUGCCUAAUAAAACAAAUAAAAGUAUAAAAAAACCUA